GAUGAAGAACGUAGCGAAAUGCGAUAAGUAGUGUGAAUUGCAGAAUUCAGUGAAUCAUCGAAUCUUUGAACGCACAUUUCGCCCCUUGGUAUUCCAUGGGGCAUGCCUGUUCGAGCGUCAUUUGUACCUUCAAGCCUUGCUUGGUGUUGGGUGUUUGUCUCGCCUCUGCGCGCAGACUCGCCUCAAAACAAUUGGCAGCCGGCGUAUUGAUUUCGGAGCGCAGUACAUCUCGCGCUUUGCACUCAGAACGACGACGUCCAAAAGUACAUUUUUACACUCUUGACCUCGGAUCAGGUAGGGAUACCCGCUGAACUUAAGCAUAUCAAUAAGCGGAGGA
RNAcentral lists this unclassified non-coding RNA (337 nucleotides) under soil metagenome. RNAcentral's name for it is "partial contains 5.8S ribosomal RNA, internal transcribed spacer 2, and large subunit ribosomal RNA". The stretch from base 1 to 120 matches the Rfam family "5.8S ribosomal RNA", at positions 35 to 154 of the family's 154-position model. The record is from RNAcentral.